Molecule: long non-coding RNA, 2001 nt
Organism: Apteryx haastii (Great spotted kiwi)
Lineage: Eukaryota; Metazoa; Chordata; Aves; Apterygiformes; Apterygidae
Source: Ensembl
CAGCAACACAGGGCUGUGCAUGUGCAUUUGCACUGUCAUAUGCCUGCACCGACACGGGGCUGCGCGUGUGCUUUUGCACUGCCACGUGCAUGCACCAACACAGGGCCACGUGGGUGUUCACACUGCUAAAUGCAUGCAGCAACAUGGGGCCGUGCAUGUGCAUUUGCACUGCCACGUGCAUGCACCGAUACGGGGCUGCGCGUGCAUUCACGCUGCUAAAUGCACACGCCGAAAAGGGGCCGUGCAUGUGCAUUUGCACUGCCAUGUGCAUGCACCAACACGGGGCUGCGUGUGUGUUCACAGUGCUAAAUGCACGCAGCAACACAGGGCUGUGCAUGUGCAUUUGCACUGCCACAUGCAUGCACUGAUACAGGGCUGCGCGUGCAUUCACGCUGCUAAAUGCACRCGCCGACAAGGGGCCAUGCGUGUGCGUUUGCACUGCCAUGUGCAUGCACCGACAUGGGGCUGUGCAUGUGCAUUUGCACACCAACACAUGCAUGCACCAACACAGGGCCGUGCGUGUGCAUUUGCACUGCCACGUGCACACACUGCCAUGGGGCCGUGCGUGUGCAUUUGCACUGCUAUGUGCACGCAACAACACGGGGCUGCGUGUGUGUUCACACUGCUAAAUGCAUGCACCAACACGGAGCUGUGCACGUGCGUUUGCACUGCCACGUGCACGCACUGCCACGGAGCUGUGCGUGUGCAUUUGCACACCGAGACAAGGCCGUGCAUGUGCGUUUGCACUGCUGCAUGCAUGCACCGACACGGGGCUGUGCAUGUGCAUUGGCACUGCUGCAYGCACACACCGACACAGGGCUGCACGUGUGCGUGUGCACUGCCGCGUGCACGCACCGMCGCGGGGACGCGCGUGCCCACCGCCGCGGGGCUGCGCGUGCGCCUUCGCCCCUUGCACACCCACACGCGGGUGCCCGGCACCCGCGGCCCCGGCGCGGGGAGGGGUGCGAGCGCGGAGGAAUCCGUCGGGGCAGCAAUUCGCUGUGCAAACAAGGGCGGGCGGAUUAGAGCGGGCGCUGGGGGCCGGCGCGGGGGGGAUCGCCGGGGAUUUACCCGCCACAAAGGGUGGGAAAAACGGCGGCGCGGGGGGCGGGGGGACACGAAUGCCAGCGCGGCGCCGUGCCCGGGGCACCUGGGACCGGGGGACGGCACCAGGCGGUGCCCCCCCCCCCCAAAAUCACCCAGCCCCGGGGCAGAAACGCCCCGCGGUGCAGCCGCCCCGGGGAAGGAGCUUGCUUUCGGCUGGGGAAACUGAGGCACGGCCCCCCCCGCCACACGUGCACCGAGCGGGUCGGUGCUCGGCACGCAUCCUGCGCCGGGGAGGAAGGGCGCCGGGGCCCUCGCACACCUGUCCCGCCGGCGGAGGGGGAAAUAACCCGUGUCGGGUUACCGGAAACGGCCGCCGGCUCGCGGCACCCCGCGGGGUCACCCCGGACGCCUGGGCUUGCCGCUCCCCCCCCUCCCUCCUCCUUUUCCCGAGCAAAACUCCCGGAGGGAGCAGGGAAAACUCCUUGCCCGGGAACGCCGGCRGGACGGGACGCGGGAGGGGGGGCAGGAUGCCUGGCCGGACGCUGGCGCUCCUCAGUUUUUCCACUCGCCGGCCCAAAAAUCCCGCCGCAUCCGACGGGCGCCCUUGGGAAGCCGGGGCUGCCGGGGAGGAAGGCGAGGAGGAGGAGGAGGAGGAGGGAGGUGGCGGCCCGCUGUCACGUCCGCCGCCGGCGCCACGUGGGCUUCGCCGGGGCCGGCUCGAGGUCCGGGCGGGCGAGCGAGCGAGCGGAAAGGGAGGAAGCGCACGCCCCGGCGCCGACACCGGAGCGGGAUGGUGGGGGGGGGGAUUAUUAUUAUUCCUAACCCCCCCUCCCCCGGGGCUAUUGUUUCCCAAGGCCACGGCGAUUUCCAGCCCCGAAAGGUGUUUCCCGCGCNNNNNNNNNNNNNNNNNNNNNNNNNNNNNNNNNNNNNNNNNNNNNNNNNNNNNNNNNNNNN